GAUGAACGCUGGCGGCGUGCUUAACGCAUGCAAGUCGAACGGGAUCCAAGGGGUGCUUGCACUUUUUGGUGAGAGUGGCGAACGGGUGAGUAACACGUGAGUAACCUGUCCUUUUCUUUGGGAUAAGCAUUCGAAAGGGUGUUUAAUACCUUAUGUUCUGUCUGCCUCGCAUGGGGUGGGUGGGAAAGGCUUUGGCCGGAUUUGGGUGGGCUCGCGGUCUAUCAGCUUGUUGGUGGGGUGAUGGCUUACCAAGGCUUUGACGGGUAGCCGGCCUGAGAGGGGGGUCGGUCACAUUGGGACUGAGAGACGGCCCAGACUCCUGCGGGAGGCAGCAGUGGGGGAUAGUGCACAAAGGGCGAAAGCCUGAUGCAGCGACGCCGCGUGGGGGAUGAAGGCCUUCGGGUUGUAAACUUCUUUUGCUCUGAACAAGGCAUGCCAGUGGGUGUGUUGAGUGUAGGGGUUGAUUAGCGCCGGCUAACUACGUG
Molecule: ribosomal RNA, 485 nt
Filed under: uncultured bacterium
Lineage: Bacteria
Description: partial 16S ribosomal RNA
Rfam family: Bacterial small subunit ribosomal RNA
Source: RNAcentral